RNAcentral lists this long non-coding RNA (591 nucleotides) under Gossypium raimondii (Peruvian cotton). Its description in RNAcentral is "long non-coding RNA (GRAI_LNC002219)". Lineage: Eukaryota; Viridiplantae; Streptophyta; Magnoliopsida; Malvales; Malvaceae. The record is from RNAcentral.
UUUUUCCUUUUUGCAGGUAUUUUCGUAGUGGUAGGAGGGCCUUUGGUCAAUGGAAAUGGAAGGUAUGCCCCUUUGCCAUUUCAGUGAAACGAUGGCAGGGGGCAAACUUCGGGGCGUUGGUGACUUUGGGAGUUUUGCUUGCUGACGUGGUGAAGGGUGGCGAUUGUUGAUUGCUUAAGGGGAAAUUAGGGUUUCUAUUUAGGUUUAGGAUUUUUAGGCUUGGGCUUGGAAAUGGAUUGUUAUUAAUAGACCUUUUUAUUUAUUUUUGUUUAUUUAUUUUUAUUUUUUGGUUGGUUUGGGUCGGACGAAUUUGGGCCAUUACAAGUACUAGAUUAAGUAACGAUAAUUUUCAUCAUAUUAGAUACAAUGAUGACCAUGAAAUAAAAGUGAUCAAGUUAGAUGACAAAUUUAGCUUUUAAAGAGGUUCUAGAUAGAGUUUGAGAUGCUAUGGUCUUCUAUGAAAGUGGAUAAGGUGUGGAUGGUAGGUGCAUUGUGUCUAGGGUGUUGGCUGUACUAGGUGUGCAUAAGUUAGAAGUGUUGGAAAAACAUGGUCGGUUGCGCAGUAAAAUUUAAAAAAAAUUUAUGCAUCUA